AAGGAUUUGACAAGACAGUUACAGCAAGCAAGAAGGAAGCUUGAAACUUUUGAAGCCAAUGGAGAAAAAGAAAGUGCAAGUCUUGGAUCUCGAACAAGCUCCACUGGUUCCCUAAAUACUCUUACAAAUGGUGAUGGACCAAAUUCUCAUUCUCAGCCAGAGCCAACUCAUACAUAUAGGCAGUCCAGUCCUCCAGAGCAGGUAGGAACAUUAUCAUCAUUAAGUCCCACAAGUUUGACCUAUCAAUAUUAAAGCAGUCCAGCCCUCCAGAGCAGGUAUGGUCCUUAUCACCCCAAGUUCAACAAGUAUGACCCAUUCAAACAGGCAAUUAAGUCCUUCACAGCAUGUAGGUUUAUAACCCCCUCAAACCUAACAAGAAUGGCCAAUAUACAUACAAUAGAUCCAGUCCUUAGUGUUUGACAAGGGGCCUAUGUGGCCGAGUGGUCUAAGUAGUUACUACUGAAAUCACUAGCCAGUCAACACAGAGGUUGUGAGUACAAACGCUGCUCUUGCAAGUGCACUUGACUCCAAUCUUAAUUGACUAGGAUUGUCAGUUUUCCUAUUGAAGGUCAGUGGUUCUCUCAGGGCAUUCCGGCUUCCUCCACCAAAAAAACUGAUCACCAUGAAAUAGCCUAAAUGCGGUGCUUAAAAGUGGUGUUAAAACACAAAAAAUCAAAAUCAAUUAGUGUCUGACAAGUACUGCCCCAUACAUAGUCAGUUUUGUUCUUUCAGAGCUGGCAGGAUAUUUAUCACUUUCAAGUAAAAAAAGUACCACACAAUACUAAGGUAAAGGCAGUCCAGUCUUCUAGAACAAGUAUUUAUAAAAAUAAGAGUAUAUGGUAUGAUAGCUGAUGCGACAACUCUCCACAAGAGACCACAUGACACAGAAAUUAACAAUUUUAGGUCACCGAUAUUCUUCAUUGCUGUCACAUUUAUGAAAAAGGAAUAAGUUUCCACAGAUGAUUAUACAAUUGUGACGAGUAUAGUAUCAAGGAGUCAUAUAUGACUCUAGAAAACAAUCAAUGUUUUUAUUUUGCCCAGGAGUAUCCAGAAAUAACAGAACAACUAGAACCAGAUAAGCAAAUGCUGAUAGAGAGAAUCGUCAA
This 1106-nucleotide long non-coding RNA is filed under the name Mytilus galloprovincialis (Mediterranean mussel). Lineage: Eukaryota; Metazoa; Mollusca; Bivalvia; Mytilida; Mytilidae. The record is from RNAcentral.